This 253-nucleotide ribosomal RNA is filed under the name uncultured bacterium. Its description in RNAcentral is "partial 16S ribosomal RNA". It matches the Rfam family "Bacterial small subunit ribosomal RNA", at positions 524 to 776 of the family's 1533-position model. The record is from RNAcentral.
UACGUAGGGUGCAAGCGUUAAUCGGAAUUACUGGGCGUAAAGCGUGCGCAGGCGGUUUAGUAAGACAGAUGUGAAAUGCCCGGGCUUAACCUGGGAACUGCAUUUGUGACUGCUAGGCUAGAGUGUGUCAGAGGGGGGUAGAAUUCCACGUGUAGCAGUGAAAUGCGUAGAUAUGUGGAGGAAUACCGAUGGCGAAGGCAGCCCCCUGGGAUAACACUGACGCUCAUGCACGAAAGCGUGGGGAGCAAACAGG